RNAcentral lists this ribosomal RNA (253 nucleotides) under uncultured bacterium. RNAcentral describes it as "partial 16S ribosomal RNA". It matches the Rfam family "Bacterial small subunit ribosomal RNA", at positions 524 to 776 of the family's 1533-position model. The record is from RNAcentral.
UACGUAGGGUGCAAGCGUUGUUCGGAAUUAUUGGGCGUAAAGUGCGCGUAGGCGGCUGCCUAAGUCUGGUGUGAAAGCCCGGGGCUUAACCCCGGAAGUGCACUGGAUACUGGGCAGCUAGAGGGCGAGAGAGGGAAGUGGAAUUCCUGGUGUAGGGGUGAAAUCCGUAGAUAUCAGGAGGAACAUCGGCGGCGAAGGCGGCUUCCUGGCUCGUUACUGACGCUGAGGCGCGAAAGCGUGGGGAGCAAACAGG